Molecule: non-coding RNA, 130 nt
Organism: Cinara cedri
Lineage: Eukaryota; Metazoa; Arthropoda; Insecta; Hemiptera; Aphididae
Source: the annotation of a GenBank genome assembly
AAAAAGGGUGUCUACCGCUUCUAUGGUACGUGGGUCCAAUGCGACUCGCGGGGUAUGGCCAUCAAUACAUACCCGGCACGUAAUUUUUGGAAACGCGGGCAGUUGGCUACCACAGUGUGCCGGCGUCCGC